Molecule: long non-coding RNA, 891 nt
Filed under: Anas platyrhynchos platyrhynchos (common mallard)
Lineage: Eukaryota; Metazoa; Chordata; Aves; Anseriformes; Anatidae
Description: lncRNA (ENSAPLG00000031018.1)
Source: RNAcentral
GGAAAACCUGAAAGGGGACUAGCAGGAUGUUGUGAACCUGUCCCUUUUGAAGUGAGAAAACUGGAUUCUAUGUUUUAAAGUUUUUAUUUCUUCUCUAGUUUCUUUUUCUUUUCAGCACCUUUCCUCAGUAAUUACAGUCUACCCUCAACAUCUGAGAAGAUUGUUCCUGGUAGGACAAUUUCCCAACAUUUCUAACUGUGACUGGAAAUAUAUGUUCUUGAUAUCCUCAUCCCACACAAUCAUAUUGUCUAACUGCUAUAGUGUAGAGGACAGCUAGCUUAGAAAAAGUGAAAAUGCUCAGCCCAAGAAUUCAUGCAUUGUGUGACAUUACUGUAGCAUCCAGUGUUAGCAACUCUGGAAGUGAACCGAGCAGUCACAAAGAAACACCUUGUAGACAGCCAUACAAGUAAAUGUCUUCCAGCCUCCUUGUACCUUUCCAAUAGAGUGAGGAAAAACAAAAAAAAAAAAAAAAAAAGGAAAGAAAGAAAAGGGAAAAGGGAGGAGGAAGGCAGAGGAACGACAGAACGGCAGACAGACGGCGGCCGGCUCCAGGUAGGCGCCGUCCCCUCCCGCCGCCAUCAGGGGCAGCGCGGGGAGACCGGGGGCUACUGGGGGCUAUUGGGGGACGCUGGAGGCUACUGGGGGAUGCUGGGGGCCGGGUUUUUGGUGUUUAGUGGUGUUUAUGGGAGUGGUAAUGCUCCGGGAGCGCCUCCGGGAGAGGCUGCGAAGAAGAGGCAUCGCUGGGCUGCGUCUCGUCGGGGGGGAGCUGAGUUGAGGGGCUCCCGGGGCAGGCAGGCAAGCAGGGGUGCUCCGGCCGCAGUUCUUCGCCCUCCUCUCUCGGACUCUGCUCGGGCGGCCGAGUUAAGCAGCGCUAAGGACACGGGAAAGUAG